Molecule: ribosomal RNA, 301 nt
Filed under: uncultured bacterium
Lineage: Bacteria
Description: partial 16S ribosomal RNA
Rfam family: Bacterial small subunit ribosomal RNA
Source: RNAcentral
CAGCCGCCACGGGAAAACGGAGGGUGCAAGCGUUACUCGGAAUCACUGGGCGUAAAGGACGCGUAGGCGGAUUAUCAAGUCUCUUGUGAAAUCUAACGGCUUAACCGUUAAACUGCUAGGGAAACUGAUAAUCUAGAGUAAGGGAGAGGCAGAUGGAAUUCUUGGUGUAGGGGUAAAAUCCGUAGAGAUCAAGAAGAAUACCCAUUGCGAAAGCGAUCUGCUGGAACUUAACUGACGCUAAUGCGUGAAAGCGUGGGGAGCAAACAGGAUUAGAUACCCCCGUAGUCCCUGUCUCUUAUAC